Molecule: ribosomal RNA, 389 nt
Filed under: uncultured Alphaproteobacteria bacterium
Lineage: Bacteria; Pseudomonadati; Pseudomonadota; Alphaproteobacteria
Description: bacterial SSU rRNA
Rfam family: Bacterial small subunit ribosomal RNA
Source: RNAcentral
UCUUAGCGGCGGACGGGUGAGUAACACGUGGGAACAUGCCCUUCACUGCGGAAUAGUCCCGGGAAACUGGGUUUAAUACCGCAUACGCCCUUCGGGGGAAAGAUUUAUCGGUGAAGGAUUGGCCCGCGUCUGAUUAGGUAGUUGGUGGGGUAACGGCCUACCAAGUCGACGAUCAGUAACUGGUUUGAGAGGAUGAUCAGCCACACUGGGACUGAGACACGGCCCAGACUCCUACGGGAGGCAGCAGUAGGGAAUCUUAGACAAUGGGGGAAACCCUGAUCUAGCCAUGCCGCGUGAGUGAUGAAGGCCCUAGGGUUGUAAAACUCUUUCGCCUGGGAAGAUAAUGACGGUACCAGGUAAAGAAGCCCCGGCUAACUCCGUGCCAGCAG